GAUCAUGGCUCAGGAUGAACGCUAGCUACAGGCUUAACACAUGCAAGUCGAGGGGCAGCGGGAUUGAAGCUUGCUUCAAUUGCCGGCGACCGGCGCACGGGUGAGUAACGCGUAUCCAACCUUCCGUACACUCAGGGAUAGCCUUUCGAAAGAAAGAUUAAUACCUGAUGGUAUGAUGAGAUUGCAUGAUAGCAUCAUUAAAGAAUUUAUCGGUGUACGAUGGGAG
RNAcentral lists this ribosomal RNA (226 nucleotides) under uncultured bacterium. Its description in RNAcentral is "partial 16S ribosomal RNA". It matches the Rfam family "Bacterial small subunit ribosomal RNA", at positions 15 to 231 of the family's 1533-position model. The record is from RNAcentral.